This 236-nucleotide ribosomal RNA is filed under the name uncultured bacterium. RNAcentral's name for it is "partial 16S ribosomal RNA". It matches the Rfam family "Bacterial small subunit ribosomal RNA", at positions 541 to 776 of the family's 1533-position model. The record is from RNAcentral.
UUGUUCGGAAUUACUGGGCGUAAAGGGCGCGUAGGCGGCUUACCAAGUCAGGCGUGAAAUUCCCGGGCUCAACCUGGGGGCUGCGCUUGAUACUGGUGAGCUUGAAUGCGGGAGAGGAUAGUGGAAUUCCCAGUGUAGAGGUGAAAUUCGUAGAUAUUGGGAAGAACACCGGUGGCGAAGGCGGCUAUCUGGCCCGUAAUUGACGCUGAGGCGCGAAAGCGUGGGGAGCAAACAGG